This is a long non-coding RNA of Ctenopharyngodon idella (grass carp), 1756 nucleotides long. RefSeq lists it as uncharacterized. The transcript is spliced from 2 exons. NCBI's taxonomy places the organism in Eukaryota, Metazoa, Chordata, Actinopteri, Cypriniformes, Xenocyprididae. The record is from RefSeq and is a predicted model, not a curated record.
AGUUUAAGCCAUAAUAACUGAAAUUGAGAUAAACUAUACCUUUUUUCUAACUUUUAUAAGUUUAGGCUUAUUACUGAAUCAUUAAGGCCCUUAUCCCACCACGAAAAAUGCCCUUGGUCGGGUUUCUUAAGGACAACAAUAUUAAAUCUUUAAUGUCCUGGUUUAACCCCAGGUCUCUUGUCAUAUGGCUUCUACCUUUGACCUGUGAUUUGUGGGCUAAUCUGAUCUAUUAGACAUAUUUGUUUUCUUCGAUAGACAUGCCCCCUAGCAGCAUCCUGAAAUUAGAUUGAACAAAUGCAGCAUUGAUGCAUUUGUUCAAUUACAGAGAGCCAGUCAGGUCAGCCACUGUUAGAGAUCCUUAUGGGAGAGAAUGGUUUCGAUAGCAAACUCCAGACAUAGAAGUAUCUUAGAUCGCUUACGUUAGAUGAGUGCAAUUUUAAACCUCUACAUAUAUUGUAUACAAUUAAAAUGUGAUAUGAAAACAAUUGCGGCAGAUACCUUUCAGUUUAGGUAUUCAGUUUAGAUCUUGGUGGCAGAAUUAACAAAAAUAAAUCUCUGAUUAGCAUUUUAAGACCUAGUUAUUAAACUUAUUAAAUGCUUAAAGCAUACUUACCCCACAUAGUGAUGAACCUGAAGCAGUUGUCUCCAUCUGUGUUAACAUCCUCUAAUUACACAAGCUGUAAAGCAGCCUUUUUACCCUCUUCCUUUCUGUUUGGCACCUGCGAUCUUUCAGAUGUGGACCCGUUGGACCUUCCCCUGAUUAAUGGGCCUGAUUGGCAAUAGAGGAGACUGACAAACGAUUGGAGGGUUUCAUUCCUCUAAAAAUCCAAGUCAUUAUUGGAGAGCAGUGAAUCUCUGCAAUCUAAUAAUGCUCUCAGUGUUCUUUUCAAGCUUUUAAACUAAUUCGUGAUUGAUCACUAAUUAUCGGUGACGGAGCCUCUCGAGACAGCACUUUCCAGCUCUGAAUGUUUGUUCCUAUCUUAAAACAGUUUGAAAGGAGCUAUAACUUCCAAAUGGUUGACUCUGCUCCCUGGUGGAGAGUCAAUAGACCGCCUUGAGACGUUUGAGUGAACAUUGAUGUUCUUUGCCAAUAUGCAAUAUUGCCUCUCGACAGAAUAAAACACCUGGAACUGGCCGUCUGGUUUUGAUGGGACCGUAGUCGGCAAUCAGCAGUGCUGCUGCUCUUAUUGAACUCCUUAUUGGGUAUUUGUAUAGUGCUCCCCACACGCACUUUAGCAGGCAGAAGUCGGUUGACAAAUCCACAUUCUGUAAUUGCGUGACCAUUGAUUUCAGUUCCAGUCAAAAAGAGAGAAAAAAGGGAAGUGCCUCCUUAAAGACAAGACAUAUAUUAGUGUAAUGCCGAUGGCAAAGGCACGUAUAUGUCGAGUGAAAGGAGCACACACACAUACACGCACGCACACACGCGCACACACAAGAGGGUGUAAAGACACUGAGCCCCUGGCUCUUCCACAGACGUCUCACCGGAAUAACGUUUGCUUUUCUGUGUUGAUAUUAUUGUCUUUGCUUGUUCACUUUGCAGAAUAAGUGAGUUUUGUAGCUUGUUGUUUGUGUUGUCACAGAAUGUGGAAAUGAAGACGUCUGAAUCUUUCAAGUGAAACUUCUGUUUCUACAAAUUUUGGACAGAUGAUUAAUAUUUAUGCAGUCCUAACCAGAACAUUUCAGGAGGCAACAGAGCUUCAUAUGGUGCGACGCAAGCUGCCGGUCCAUUGCUUCAUGCAGCAACAGUGUAAGACCC